AUUUUCGAGUGGCCAGCUCCUUCUAAUCCACACUGGUGCAGCACUGUGAUUGAAAUUCAGCUGCAUAGCUCUUGCUGGGAAAUGCGGUGACGGAGCAGUGCAGGCGGCAGCUGCCUCCCACACUUAGGAGUUCUAAAGCCACGGUCCCUGUGUGAGUCUCCUGGAGCUCAUAGUCCCUCAAAUGGCAGGCAGUUGAAGAGAUGAAGGCCCAGAGGCAUGAACUCCCACAGCCAGAGGAUAUGAGCGGAUUCUACCUGGUGAGCCUGGGUGAAGAGCCCAUGCCCCCAGCCAUAUCCAUGGCCGAGGCUCAGCCCAGACAGGGCACAAAGGGGCUGAGGAAGAGGAAGUAAGAUGCCAGGGUUGCCAUGCAGGAGGGCAGCCCCGAGUGAGAUGGGCAUCGUGGCCUAGGGCCCACCUUCUCGAAGAGCUCAUCAGAACCUUGGACGCACCACGUGGCCUAGACCCAGGGCUCCUUGAGCCCGUCCCUCGGAUUGGCUUCGAAUUGUAGGUGAACCCUCUCUAGCUGCCACAUUCACCCUUUGCGUGCCCACACUUUGUCAUCUCCUGAAAAGGUGCAAGAACAUGACGCCCGGCUGAUCCCAGGGAGCAGGAGCCCCAGAGGCCAGCGGUGUGCAGCCACAGCAGGCAGAGGAGUCUGGAGACCAUGAAUGCCGUGUGUGUCUGCUAAUCUAAAGCUUGGGCCCAGAGGAAAAUGUCUUUGCAUCUUGAAAGAUCUGGACUCCUUCUGCCUUCUGAGCAUCUGUGAGAUGGAGAUACUAAUAGGGCCUUCCCCAUAGAGAUGUUCUGAAGAUCAAAUGAGAGACCUCAUGGAAAGCUGUUAGCACAGAGCUGACUCCCUCUGAAGGAAGACCAGUGAGGCCCGGAAGAUGGCCUCCUGAGGCCAAGCCACUGAGCUGCAGGACAAAGAUGAUCUUUCUGGGCUCCUGAUAUCCAGACCCCGUCUCAUCUUUCAGCAUGUUCAGAGUAUCUGUGGCUGCUGUGGGCAGAGAGGAGGUACCGGGGAGGUCCUGGCAGACUUAUCUACCAGCAGAGAGACUGAGCCUCCAUGCCACCCCAACUCCCGCUGCCCUUUUGACUGAGCUCUGAACACAAGUUAGAGGAGCUGGGGGAAGCUCCAAGCAGUCAGUACAUGAGCCGGUGAGCAUGCGACGUGUCCCGUCUGGUGCUCAGCACUGCAGGGGACAUCCCCACAAAUAUCACAGCUCGAAUUCUCCGGUUGGGAAGGCAAGACUCACAGACAGAGAACAGUAGAAAAGUCUUCAAGAGGCCCCUGGUGUAGUCUGAGGAGCCCUGGACAGAGGUAAGACCAGAGUUCUAUCCCCAGGCCUUGGGCCUGAAGCAGGUGCCUGUACCUCCAAAAGCUCCAGCCACACCAAGUUCUAGACAACUUCUCAUUGCCUGGAUUGUGGGUGGCACAUCUGAUCGGUGGGGACUGACGCCUGGAGCACUGUGCUGAGGAGGACUCUGAGGCAGCAGCAAGCCUGGCAGGACUGUGGUGGCCAACCAGUGAGGCGGACGGUAGGUGCCACCGGGAUGUCACAGGGAUGUACCUUCCACUUGUUAACCCUUCUGGUUAAGAGCAACUCACUGGCCAUUUCUAAGGACCCCUCCAGCUCCCAAAUGGGAGAAUUCUGUGAUGGAAAUGUUGCAUUUCAAGGCACUGGCUGGAGCACAAUGAGGCAAAGCAGGAAGAGAUCUGUGUGGGCUGGGAUGAUCAAGGAAGGCUUUGGGAAGGAGGCGGCACUUUAGUGCGGCCUCAAGGUGGGGGAGUGUGAGUAGCUGUACCGGAGGUGGGAGGACGUUUAUGUGCAUAAAACUGGGGCUGAGCAUGGGCUGUUCUUGGUACAGGAGGGAGGCGGCUAGCAUCGCUGGAAUGCGCUGUCUGUGUUUAGGGCAAGUAUGAUUACAUACGUGAGAGCACACAGUCUGAGAGCUUCCCACAUGGAAAGCCACAGAGCAAAGAUGACGUUCCAUGCAUGCUGGCUUCCAGUCCUCACAGCUCCUCUCCAAGGUAAACGCUCUUCCCAGCCUUCCCUAGCGUUCUGUGAGUUGCUCAGGGCCACCGCUGGCAGGUGCGAAUCCUGCGUUCAGCCUGGGCAGUGCGGUUCUGAUGGCUUUGGGCAUAACUUCUCUGCCCUGGUGCCUUCUCUACUCUUAGAAGCUGACCAGUAAGGAAACCCAGCAAUGCAGUUGAGACACCAUGGCUGGAUUUGUGGAUUCUAGGGACGAGGAAGAGGCAGGAACAGCUGUAGACCGAGGAAGGAGGGCCUUGCUUGAGUCAUCAAUCACACAAACAGAUCCAAGCCAAGAAGAGGGCAAGGUGGACGUAGAUCAAAGAUAGGCGCUAAGUGCCAUGGGCUAGGGCUUGUUUUAGACUUUCCUCAAGUCCUACAUAAUCUACUGGAAACAACAAAAAUUGUCCCAACACUAUGGGAAUAGGCAAGAAGCUGUGGGAGGGCAUGACAUUCCAGAGACGUGGGGCUCAGCCUGUGAGGAUGGGAAUAGAGCCUGCCAUGGUCUUAACACAAGCCCAGAGGCAGAAGGCAACUGCCUAAAUAAAGAUCUCAUUUCAGACAAAGCUUAACCCUGCCUUUGCCCAGGGCUGCAGCCUCCAGCCGUCUCCACGCUGUCCCUGCCUGGCACCUGGUGGUGCGCUGGGGAACUUUGCUGUUUCUCCCUCGUUUCCCAGCCCUCUCUCCUUCCUUCCUUCCUUACUGGGUUCAUGGACAGCUCCAGCCUCCACUCAGCUUGGCCUCUCAAUUCCAUGGCCAGAAGGUCCUGUUGUGCACCGCCCUGCCCCCAGGCCCCUAUGUCUCAUCUUGCUUUCUUCACCUCUCCCACCACCUUUGUCCCCACCCAUCCGGAGAUGGAUCUGAAACCAGCCCCGGUAUGAAACUCUCCAGCCUCUCUCCCAAACAUCCUCGCGUCCCUGCCCCGCUUGCUCUGGUCCCACUCCAUCUCAAGCGCCCUCUGUGGUCCUCCCUUCUGGUUUCUCCCUCUGGCCUCCAGGAGGCCUCUGGUGUCCGCACAACUUCCUGACAUGGAGGAAGGACCAGAGCUGUAACGUGGGGCUGGAAGGUCGCAGAACCACCAGUUCGUCCUGCCCUGCCGACCUCUCCUUGUGAAGCUCUCCCUCCUGCUGUUCAGUCUGUGCUCGAUGACUAGAGGCCUGAUUCUGAAACUCUCUUUUGGGGCCACUGGGUCAGGCAGCCCUCCUCACUGUCAGGAAAUAUAUCCUCAUUUCUUACCUUAAUUUCUCAACUGCAUCUGUUCUUUCUUGUUCUGGGAAGUCAUCCGGUGUGAUGCUGCAGCCAUGCUACUCCUUAGCGCUCUGCUUCCCAACCAAAACAAUGCUCCUUCUCAGCUUUUCCAAAGCUUCCGGCCCCAGCAGUUCUUGGACCUGGGGUACUUUCCUCCCUGCAAGCAACAAAGGAGGACAAGCCCCAGCUUCUCUAAGAUACCUUCGGCUGCCUGGAAGAGGCCUGUGGAAGGCCCCACAACUCUCCACAGACCUCGGGGCGUUGCUGUUUCUUCUCAGUGGCCCUGGUCUCCUCAGCCAGCUCCAGCUGACUUGGCGUAAUGACUAAGAAAACUUUCCAAACUUUCCGAAGACAGUUGGUGAUCCUCUACCCUCCCGGUGACUGGUGAGAACUACCCCCACAGAGAGCCAGCAGAGAGGAAGGCUCCCAGCUCCGGGCCCUGACUCAUCACACACACAAACACUCCCCAGCACUCUUUCCCAAAACAGUUCCCCUCCCACCCAUCCACCCUCCUACCAGGGCUGGGUGACAAAAAUGAACGCCCCAGAGAUCUUGCCAAGUGCUGGGCCAUGCUCAGCCCAGGGAACAUGCAACUCCCCAUAGAAUGGGAGGAGCAGACCCCCACCCCCUCUGGAAGCAAACAGUGUCCGUUGGAAGAAAAAUUGCCACCUGACUCUACAAUGAUCACUGUAUUGUUUUCCAAAUAGCUUGGACUACUUUCCCCCAAAAAAGGGUUCAAAGCUCUAUAAUCAUAAAAUCCUAGAGCUUAAGGCAAUCUUAAAGGUCAUCUUUAGCCCCUCUCCCCUUCCCUGCUUCCAUGCAUCUACACAUGGAUUCAUUUCUCUAUUUGUUCAUCAGAUAGUCACUGGGUUCCUACAAUCUGCCAUGUGCAACACAGGCUCUGGAGGCCCCACAGACAUACUGUUUCCGCAAGGCGCUUGUCAUCCAGUGGGUGAGAAAGCAAGUGACAAGGCGUUGGAAUAAGUAUGACAGGCACUGUGGUAGGAAGAGUGCAUGUUCUAGAAGCACUGAGAGGGCAUGUCACCCCCACCUUGGGGUAGUGGGGGGAAUUCAUGGAGACUUACUGGGAGAUAUUAUAUAUAUAUGUAUAUAUAUGUAAUAAAUAUAAAAAUGUAUUAUAA
Molecule: long non-coding RNA, 4423 nt
Organism: Macaca mulatta (Rhesus monkey)
Lineage: Eukaryota; Metazoa; Chordata; Mammalia; Primates; Cercopithecidae
Source: RefSeq, a predicted model, not a curated record